This 155-nucleotide ribosomal RNA is filed under the name Betta unimaculata (Howong betta). RNAcentral's name for it is "partial 12S ribosomal RNA". The record is from RNAcentral. Lineage: Eukaryota; Metazoa; Chordata; Actinopteri; Anabantiformes; Osphronemidae.
ACACACCGCCCGUCACUCUCCCCAAGUCUAAACAAACCCAUAUAUAUAAUAAACCCUUAUAGCAAAGGGGAGGCAAGUCGUAACAUGGUAAGUGUACCGGAAGGUGUACUUGGACAAAUCAAAAUGUAGCUAAGACAGAAAAGCAUCUCCCUUAC